GGGUGGUUAGGAACAAUACAACCUGGAUAUGGCUGAAUAUUUUCAGCCAUAUCCAGGUUGUAUUGUUCCUAACCACCCU
This 79-nucleotide microRNA precursor is filed under the name Pelobates cultripes (western spadefoot toad). The record is from RNAcentral. Lineage: Eukaryota; Metazoa; Chordata; Amphibia; Anura; Pelobatidae.